GGAUUGUAGCUCAGUGGUAGAGUGUUUGCCUUGUAUGUGUGGGGCACUGGGUUCUAUCCCUAGCACCA
RNAcentral lists this transfer RNA (68 nucleotides) under Marmota monax (woodchuck). Its description in RNAcentral is "tRNA.Thr". Lineage: Eukaryota; Metazoa; Chordata; Mammalia; Rodentia; Sciuridae. The record is from RNAcentral.